RNAcentral lists this ribosomal RNA (468 nucleotides) under uncultured bacterium. RNAcentral describes it as "partial 16S ribosomal RNA". It matches the Rfam family "Bacterial small subunit ribosomal RNA", at positions 28 to 507 of the family's 1533-position model. The record is from RNAcentral.
GACGAACGCUGGCGGCGUGCUUAACACAUGCAAGUCGAACGGUGAAGCUCCAGCUUGCUGGAGUGGAUCAGUGGCGAACGGGUGAGUAACACGUGAGCAACCUGCCCCUGACUCUGGAAUAAGCGCUGGAAACGGCGUCUAACACUGGAUACGAGAAGGGUCCGCAUGGGCACUUUCUGGAAAGUUUUUCGGUUGGGGAUGGGCUCGCGGCCUAUCAGCUUGUUGGUGAGGUAAUGGCUCACCAAGGCGACGACGGGUAGCCGGCCUGAGAGGGCGACCGGCCACACUGGGACUGAGACACGGCCCAGACUCCUACGGGAGGCAGCAGUGGGGAAUAUUGCACAAUGGGCGAAAGCCUGAUGCAGCGACGCCGCGUGAGGGAUGACGGCCUUCGGGCUGUAAACCUCUUUCAGCAGGGAAGAAGCGAAAGUGACGGUACCUGCAGAAGAAGCACCGGCUAACUACGUG